AGGUGAUAUGAACCGUUAUAACCGGCGAUUUCCGAAUGGGGAAACCCAGUGUGUUUCGACACACUAUCAUUAACUGAAUCCAUAGGUUAAUGAGGCGAACCGGGGGAACUGAAACAUCUAAGUACCCCGAGGAAAAGAAAUCAACCGAGAUUCCCCCAGUAGCGGCGAGCGAACGGGGAGGAGCCCAGAGCCUGAAUCAGUGUGUGUGUUAGUGGAAGCGUCUGGAAAGGCGCGCGAUACAGGGUGACAGCCCCGUACACAAAAAUGCACAUACUGUGAGCUCGAUGAGUAGGGCGGGACACGUGGUAUCCUGUCUGAAUAUGGGGGGACCAUCCUCCAAGGCUAAAUACUCCUGACUGACCGAUAGUGAACCAGUACCGUGAGGGAAAGGCGAAAAGAACCCCGGCGAGGGGAGUGAAAAAGAACCUGAAACCGUGUACGUACAAGCAGUGGGAGCCUCUUAAUGGGGUGACUGCGUACCUUUUGUAUAAUGGGUCAGCGACUUAUAUUCUGUAGCAAGGUUAACCGAAUAGGGGAGCCGAAGGGAAACCGAGUCUUAACUGGGCGUUAAGUUGCAGGGUAUAGACCCGAAACCCGGUGAUCUAGCCAUGGGCAGGUUGAAGGUUGGGUAACACUAACUGGAGGACCGAACCGACUAAUGUUGAAAAAUUAGCGGAUGACUUGUGGCUGGGGGUGAAAGGCCAAUCAAACCGGGAGAUAGCUGGUUCUCCCCGAAAGCUAUUUAGGUAGCGCCUCGUGAAUUCAUCUCCGGGGGUAGAGCACUGUUUCGGCAAGGGGGUCAUCCCGACUUACCAACCCGAUGCAAACUGCGAAUACCGGAGAAUGUUAUCACGGGAGACACACGGCGGGUGCUAACGUCCGUCGUGAAGAGGGAAACAACCCAGACCGCCAGCUAAGGUCCCAAAGUCAUGGUUAAGUGGGAAACGAUGUGGGAAGGCCCAGACAGCCAGGAUGUUGGCUUAGAAGCAGCCAUCAUUUAAAGAAAGCGUAAUAGCUCACUGGUCGAGUCGGCCUGCGCGGAAGAUGUAACGGGGCUAAACCAUGCACCGAAGCUGCGGCAGCGACGCUUAUGCGUUGUUGGGUAGGGGAGCGUUCUGUAAGCCUGUGAAGGUGGCCUGUGAGGGUUGCUGGAGGUAUCAGAAGUGCGAAUGCUGACAUAAGUAACGAUAAAGCGGGUGAAAAGCCCGCUCGCCGGAAGACCAAGGGUUCCUGUCCAACGUUAAUCGGGGCAGGGUGAGUCGACCCCUAAGGCGAGGCCGAAAGGCGUAGUCGAUGGGAAACAGGUUAAUAUUCCUGUACUUGGUGUUACUGCGAAGGGGGGACGGAGAAGGCUAUGUUGGCCGGGCGACGGUUGUCCCGGUUUAAGCGUGUAGGCUGGUUUUCCAGGCAAAUCCGGAAAAUCAA
This 1425-nucleotide ribosomal RNA is filed under the name Escherichia coli. RNAcentral describes it as "bacterial LSU rRNA". It matches the Rfam family "Bacterial large subunit ribosomal RNA", at positions 84 to 1553 of the family's 2925-position model. The record is from RNAcentral. Lineage: Bacteria; Pseudomonadati; Pseudomonadota; Gammaproteobacteria; Enterobacterales; Enterobacteriaceae.